This 72-nucleotide transfer RNA is filed under the name Niceforonia brunnea. RNAcentral describes it as "Hypodactylus brunneus tRNA-Leu". It matches the Rfam family "tRNA". Rfam says of the family: Transfer RNA (tRNA) molecules are approximately 80 nucleotides in length. Their secondary structure includes four short double-helical elements and three loops (D, anti-codon, and T loops). Further hydrogen bonds mediate the characteristic L-shaped molecular structure. tRNAs have two regions of fundamental functional importance: the anti-codon, which is responsible for specific mRNA codon recognition, and the 3' end, to which the tRNAs corresponding amino acid is attached (by aminoacyl-tRNA synthetases). tRNAs cope with the degeneracy of the genetic code in two manners: having more than one tRNA (with a specific anti-codon) for a particular amino acid; and 'wobble' base-pairing, i.e. permitting non-standard base-pairing at the 3rd anti-codon position. Lineage: Eukaryota; Metazoa; Chordata; Amphibia; Anura; Strabomantidae. The record is from RNAcentral.
GCUAUUGUAGCAAAACAGGCACUGCAAAAGAUCUAAGCUCUUUUUAUAGAGGUUCAACUCCUCUCAAUAACU